Molecule: ribosomal RNA, 450 nt
Filed under: uncultured bacterium
Lineage: Bacteria
Description: bacterial SSU rRNA
Rfam family: Bacterial small subunit ribosomal RNA
Source: RNAcentral
AUGAACGCUGGCGGCGUGCCUAACACAUGCAAGUCGAGCGAUCUUCUUCGGAAGAGAGCGGCGGACGGGUGAGUAACGCGUGGGUAACCUGCCCUGUACACACGGAUAACAUACCGAAAGGUAUGCUAAUACGAGAUAAUAUACUUUUAUCGCAUGGUAGAAGUAUCAAAGCUCUGGCGGUACAGGAUGGACCCGCGUCUGAUUAGCUAGUUGGUGAGGUAAUGGCUCACCAAGGCGACGAUCAGUAGCCGACCUGAGAGGGUGAUCGGCCACAUUGGAACUGAGACACGGUCCAAACUCCUACGGGAGGCAGCAGUGGGGAAUAUUGCACAAUGGGCGAAAGCCUGAUGCAGCAACGCCGCGUGAGCGAUGAAGGCCUUCGGGUCGUAAAGCUCUGUCCUCAAGGAAGAUAAUGACGGUACUUGAGGAGGAAGCCCCGGCUAACUACGU